This 433-nucleotide ribosomal RNA is filed under the name uncultured bacterium. Its description in RNAcentral is "partial 16S ribosomal RNA". It matches the Rfam family "Bacterial small subunit ribosomal RNA", at positions 29 to 507 of the family's 1533-position model. The record is from RNAcentral.
AACGAACGCUGGCGGCAUGCCUAACACAUGCAAGUCGAACGAGACCUUCGGGUCUAGUGGCGCACGGGUGCGUAACGCGUGGGAACCUGCCCUUAGGUUCGGAAUAACUCCCCGAAAGGGGUGCUAAUACCGGAUAAUGUCUUCGGACCAAAGAUUUAUCGCCUUUGGAUGGGCCCGCGUUGGAUUAGCUAGUUGGUAGGGUAAAAGCCUACCAAGGCGACGAUCCAUAGCUGGUCUGAGAGGAUGAUCAGCCACACUGGGACUGAGACACGGCCCAGACCCGGGGGGAAGGGGGAAGGGGGGAAUGUGGAAAAAGGGGGGAAGGACGCAUCGGCUAAGGGCGGGAGAGUGAGGAGGCUGUGAGGGUUGUGAAGCUUUUUAACCCGGGAAUAAAAGGACAGUACCGGAAGAAUAAGCUCGGGCUAACUGCGUG